RNAcentral lists this ribosomal RNA (492 nucleotides) under uncultured bacterium. RNAcentral describes it as "partial 16S ribosomal RNA". It matches the Rfam family "Bacterial small subunit ribosomal RNA", at positions 30 to 507 of the family's 1533-position model. The record is from RNAcentral.
AUUGAACGCUGGCGGCAUGCUUUACACAUGCAAGUCGAACGGUAACAGGCCUUCGGUUGCUGACGAGUGGCGGACGGGUGAGUAAUUCAUCGGAACGUGCCCAGAGGUGGGGGAUAACGCAACGAAAGCUGUGCUAAUACCGCAUGUGAUCUGAGGAUGAAAGCGAGGGACCGGGCAGCAAUGUUUGGCCUCGCGCCUUUGGAGCGGCCGAUGUCAGAUUAGGUAGUUGGUGGGGUAAAGGCCUACCAAGCCGACGAUCUGUAGCUGGUCUGAGAGGACGACCAGCCACACUGGGACUGAGACACGGCCCAGACUCCUACGGGAGGCAGCAGUGGGGAAUUGUGGACAAUGGGCGCAAGCCUGAUCCAGCAAUGCCGCGUGCGGGAAGAAGGCCUUCGGGUUGGAAACAGCUUUUGUACGGAACGAAAAGGCUCUGGCUAAUACCUGGGGCUGAUGACGGUACCGUAAGAAUAAGCACCGGCUAACUACGUG